CCCGGUCAGGGCGCCGGAUUCUGUCCCGGUUGCCCCUCUUCCAGGCCAGCUCUCUGCUGUGGCCAGGGAAGGCAGUGGAGGAUGGCCUAAGUCCUUGGGCCCUGCACCCCAUGGGAGACCAGGAGAAGUACCUGGCUCCUGCCAUCGGAUCAGCACGGCGGCCAUUGGAGGGUGAACCAACGGCAAAAGGAAGACUUUUCUCUCUGUCUCUCUCUCUCACUGUCCACUCUGCCUGUCAAACACACACACACACAAAUACACCCAUAUUGUCCUCCUGCUUAAAAUUAUACAUUGGCUUCCUAUAGCCUAAAGUUGUGGUCUGUAAAGUGAGGCACCCACUUGCUGCAUGGUCUCAAGACCAUCCCCUGAGAUGUAAUAGGAAAAUAUUAGACCUUCUAUUUUUGUUUUAUUUAUUUAUUAGAGAGAGAGUGUUUCUCUCGCUGCUGGGCCACUCCCCAGUGCCCACAACAGCUGGGGCUGGGCCAAGACCGAAGCUCGGAGCCAGGAACACAAUCCAGGAUUCUCACGUGGAUGAAGGAGCUCAAUGACUUGAGCUAUCACCGCUGCUGCCCAGGGUUUGCACUAGCAGGAAGCUGGAGUCACGAGUUGGAAUUGGGAAUUGAACCCAGAAACUCCAAUGCGGGAUGCAGGCGUCCCCACAGCGAGCUAAGCGCCUGCUCCUCUACUCGCUUUUUAUCCUAACAUGGUGAUAUCUGGCAAGACUGCAGUGUAAUAUCACAGGAUAUUGACGGUGAUAGAGUCAAGAUAGAGAACUUUCCAUCGCCACAAGGAUCCCCUGUGCCCCCUUUUAUAGCCACGCUCACCCCUCUCCUACUCCAAACCCUCCUUAAGCCCUGUAGUUAGCAUUCUGUGGGUACAUUUCAGGAAUGCUAUAGAAAUGAAAUCAUACACUCUGUAUGCUCUUGGGCUUGGCUGCGAGCCCUCAGCACACUUCACUGGAGCGUCGUCCAGGUCGUUGCAUUUCCCACGAGUUCAUUCCUUUUUAUUGUUGAGUAAGACAGUAUUUCAUGAUACAAAUGCACCGAUUUGUUUAACCACUCACCCAUUAAGAGACAUCUGGGUUGUUUCUAUUUCAGAUAAAUGUUUGUGAACAGGUUUUUAUGUGAACAUCAGUUUUCAGGGAUAAAUGCUCAGUAGUGCAAUUGUUGGGCUGUUUGGUGAUUGCAUAUUUAGUUUUAUGAGAAGAAGCUACCAAGCUGUGUCCCUAAAGGGCUGUGCUGUUUGCACGCACUCCAGCAAUGUCUGCGGCAUCCACUUUCUCCACAUCUUUGCCAGCAUUUGGUCUUGUCAUCCUUUUUUUUUUUUUUUCUUACAGCCAUUCAGAUAGGUGAAUUGUAAUAUGACUUUAAUUCUCAUUUUCCUGAUGGGUUUUCAUGGUGAACUUUGUUUCAUGUGUUUACUUGAUAUUUGUAUCAUCUCAUGGUCAGAUGUCUAUUCAUCUCUUUUGUCCAUUUUCUGAUUGGAUUGUUUGUUUUUUACUAUUGAAUUGUGAGUUCUUUAUGUAUCCUAGGUUACGCAUCAUAUAUGUGGCUUGGCAAAUAUUUUCUCUCCCUCCUAUCUUUUUAUCCUCUUAACAAGAUCUUUCACAGAGCAAGUUUUUAAUUUUGGUAUACUACUCAUUUGUCAAUCUUCGCUUUUAUAGCUCAUGCUUUUGGUGUCAAGUCUAAGAACUCUCUGCCUAGUCCUAGAUCUGAAAGAGUCUAUCCUAUGGUGUUUUCCAGAAGUUUUAUAGUUUUAUCUUUAAGGCCAUGAUCCAUGUUGAAUGAAUUUUUGUAUAAAGUAUACAGUUUAAUUUGAAGUUCACUUUUUUGCUGAUGAGUGUCCAGCUGUGCCAGCACCAUUUGUUGAAAAGGUUAUCUUUCUGCCACUGCAUUACUUUUGUACUUUGAUCAAAAGUCAGUUUAGUACAGGGCAGCGUUGUAGCUUAACAGGUUAAACCAUCCUUUAUCAGAGCGCCAGUUCAAGUCCUGGCUGCUCCAUUUGCAAUCCAGCUCCCUGCCAAUGCCCCUGGGAAGGUAGUAGAAGAUGGGCCAAGUGCUUGUGCCCCUGACACCCAUGUGGGGAACCUGAUGGACUUCUUGGCUCAAGGCUUUCUGCUUGUCCCAACCCUGGCUGUUGUGGCCGUUUGUGGAAUAAACCAUGGGUGGAAGAUCAAUUGAUCUCUCUCUCUCCCUGUUUCUGUCACUCUGCCUUUAUGAAUACAUAUAUAUAUAUAUAUACACACACACACACACACACACAUACAUACAUUUUUAAAAAAUAUUUAUUUGACAGGCAGAGUUACAGAGAGGCAGAGGCAAAGAGAGAGAAGUUUUCCAUCCACCAGUUCACUUCGCAAAUGGCUGCAAUGGCAGGAGCUGGGCUGAUCUGAAGCCAGGAGCCAGAAGCUCCUCCCAGGCGCAGGUGCCCAAGGACUUGGGCCAUCUUCUAUUGCUUUCCAGGCCACAGCAGAGAGCUGGAUCGGAAGUAGAGCAGCUGGGACUUAAACCGGCACCCAUAUGGGAUGCUGGCAUCACAGGCUGUGGCAUUAUACACUAUGUCACAGCGCCAGGUCCCAUAACACAUGUUCUUGAUUGCUGUAACUAUAUAAUGUGUUGACAUUUGAUAGAUUGAUUUGACCACUGUAUUCUUUUUCAAAAAUUUUUGAGCUAUUUUAGUUCCUUGUCUUUAAUUACACAUUUUAGAAUUAUCUUGUCUAUAUUUAUAAAGACAUCCUGUGGGAUUUGGGUAGGAAUUACAUUAAAUUGUGUAUCAAUUCGAGGAGAACUGGUAUCUUUACUUUGUUGAGUCUUCCACCUCAUAACAGUAUAUGUGUGUUACUCCAUUUAUAUCUUCUUGGAUUGUCAUCGUUUCUGUAGUUUUCAGCAUACACGUUCUGCACGUGUUUGGUGAGAUUUGUUAGUAUUGCUUUCUUUUCCCUCUUUCAGAGAUUAUGGAUAAUGUUGUGUUUUUUCUUUGGUGUUCAUGUGUUCAUUGCUAGCACCUAAAAUAGAAUUAAUUUGUGCAUGUUUCUCUUGUGCCUUACUGAUAGGUUAUGCUUCUUGAACUCAGCCAUUCUAGAAAUUUUGUUUUGAUUUUUAUAUUUAUUCUUUGGAAUUUUCUAUGUAACCAUUAUGUCACUUAUAAACAGAAGUAGGUCUGUUUUCCUUUUUUUUUUUUUUUUUUAAGAUUUAUUUAUUUAUUUAUUUGAAAAGCAGAGUGAAAGAAAGAAUCUGGAAGUUGUUCCAGGUCUCCCACAGGGGUGACAGGGGCCCAAACACCUGGGCCGUCUGCGUUCCCAGGCUCAGUAGCAGAGAGCUGCAUCAGAAGUGGAGGAGCCGGGACUCAAUCCCGCACCUGUAUGGGAGGCCAGCAUCGCAGGUGGUGGCUUUACCUGAUCAACGCUGGUCCAGCAGAUGCUCGUUGUUAACUUAAGAACAUUCCUCUGUAUUUUACUGCGUGUUGCUUUUUUUUUUCUUAAUCACCAACAAGUAUUGAGUUGUCAUAUACUUGUUCAAAAGUUUUAUUUAUUUAAAGCCAGAGAGGGGGACACUGAUUUGGGAUGAUCAUCUUAGCUGCUACAGUAAGUACCUGCUCAUAACAUAACUUUUUAUGAUCUCAAUUGAUUUCAUGUUGUUUUUCUUCUUUAGACUCAUUUUUUAAAAAAAAGAUUUAUUUAUUUAUUUGAAAGGCAGAAUUACAGUCUUCCAUUGCUGGUUCACUCCCCAGAUGGCCAGAACAGCGGAGCUGGGCUGAUCUGAAGCCAGGAACCAGGAUUCUGGGUCUCCCAAGCGGGUGCAGAGACCCAAGCAGUUGGGCCAUCUUCUGCUGCUUUCCCAGGCGUGUUAGCAAGGAGCUGGAUUGGAAGUGGAGCAGCCAGGAAUCGAACCAGCACUCAUAUGGGAUGCUGGCAUCACAGGCGGCCACUUUACCUGCUACUCCACAACGCCAGCCCCUGGGAGUUUUUAAAUUAUGAAAUAGGGGCCAGCACUGUGGUGUAGUGAGUAAAGUCGCCGCCUGCAGCGCCGGCAUCCCAUAUGGGUGCCAGUUGGAGUCCCGAGUGCUCCACUUUUGAUCCAGCUCUCUGCUAAUGUGCCUGGGAAAGCAAUGGAAGACAGCCCAAGUGCUUGGGCCCCUGCACCCACAUGGGAGACCUGAAAGAAGCUCCAGGCUUUGAACCGGCCCAGCUCCGGCCAUUGUGGCCAUUUGGGGAAUGAACCAGCGGAUAGAAGACCUUUCUCUCUGCCUCUGCCUCUCUGUGACUCUGCCUUUCAAAUAUAUUAAUAAUUUAAAAAAUAAAUCACAAAAUAAAAUUCCUUAAUAGUUACAGAACUAUUCAAACUUUCUGUCUCAUAUUGGAUGAGUUGUAGAUUGUAUUUUUCCCAAUUUGUCCAUUUUGUAGAGGUUGUCGGAUUUGUGUGAGUGGAGCUGUCGUGUUUCCUGACUGUUGUCUUGGUGUCUAUAGGGACUGCAGGUGAUACCCUGUAAUUUGUAUAUUGGCAAUUUGGGUCUUUUUCUUUCCUCUGUCAAUUUUCCUAUAUGUUUUCAAAGAACUGGCGCUUUGAAUUUCAGUGAAUGUCUCUGUAUUUUUCAACUUCUUUGAUUUCUGCUCUUGUCUUUAGUGCUUCCUUCCUUCUACUUGCUGUAAGUUUUUUUGUGCUGAUUUUCUAUGUUCUUGAGAUGCAGCUUAGAUUGUUGAGACUUCUUUUCCAAUAUAUGCAGUGAGUGCUAUACAUUUUGCUCUCAGUGGUCUGUUAACACAAAUUUUAAUUAUAUUGUAUUUGCUUUUUCAUUUAGUUCCAUAGAUUUUUUUUUUCUCCCUUAAGACUUUCUCUUUCACUGAUGGGCUAUUUUGAAGUGUGUCAGAUUUUCCUGUUACCUUUCAGUUAUUGAUUUUUAGUUUUAUUCCAUUGUGAACACGCUGAGAACACGCUGUCCAGCUGGUGGGGGUUUGUCUUGCGACCGGGAUGUGGUCUAUGUUAUGGUCUUGGAGCACGGGGACUCACCUGCACUCUGCUGUGUGGGGAAGGCAUCUCUCCUCACAGGGAAUCGGUCCAGAUCCUGCUUCUACGUCGGUGUGGAUUUUUCUCCCCGGUUGUUCUGCCGGUCGUUGAAAAGGUCGUGGAAGUUUCUGAGUGAAAUUGUGGAUUUGUCUACUUCUUUCUAACCUGCAGCUUUUGCUUCACAUAAUUCACAAUGCUAUUGGAUCACUGUGUCUUCUUGCUGGAUGGAACCUUUUAUCAUUGUAUAACAGAAAUGAAGCAAUAAGAGAAACACAGAGGGUAAAGGGUGCUGGGUAGGGAUGGAAGUUCAGGCUCCCUGUGUGAUUUAGGGGAAGGGAAAAUUCAGGUUUUCUUUUGAAGUUUAUUGUCAGGUGGUUACCAAUUUAAAAACACACUCUGCUGGUGAGGCUGGACAGGCCCCUCAAACAUUGCUUUGGGGAUUGUGCGUCGGUACAACUGGCAUAAGCAGUACUGUGGUAAUAGCUAACAAGAUCACAAACUCACACAGCCUUUGGCCAAGCAGUUCCACUUCCAGGAAUUUAUCAAAGAUGUACGCACGCGUGUGUGCGAUGACGUUAAGAGCAGGAGAUGGGAAACACUCUAAAUGUCCUUCAGUAGGAAACCUGCUAAAUAAAUACUGCAACGGCCCACACAGUGCAAUACGGAGGCAGCCAUUUUUAGAAAGGAGAUGUGUAUUACGCGGAACCAUCUUCAAGAUAUAAUGUUAAAUGGAGGGGGAAAGUCAGGUGCAGGAACAGUGAAUCUAGUAUGCUAUUAUUUGCUUAAAAGAGAAAAAAAGAACACAUAGACAGGUAUUUGCCUAUAACACAAACAAAAAUGUCUUAGGCCAGAUAUAGGAGAAACUUCUAACAAUACUUCCUGGGGGUCCUCUCAUCCUCUCGCUGAAAACCCAGGGGGCAAAUAACCCCUCCAAGUGCAGGCUCUGAUGAUGCUUCUGGGCAGGCUGCAGGAGACCCCUGAGACCCUAGCCAGAGGUUGUCCGUGUGGACCCUGCUCCUGCCCUUUGCACCUGCCCUUGCCCUGUUUGCUUUAGCUGACACAAGACGCCAGGGCUCCGAGGGGCGGGGUGGGGUGGAGAGAGCAGAAGCCUGCCCAUUGGCCACGGGGCUCUCCAGGCUGCCCACACCCGCAUCCCCAGUUGCUCCCUUGGAGUAAUUGGAAGACUUCAUGGCUGGGGAAUGGGUCCCCGCGGCUGAGGACGCUUGCUGAUGGAGAGGGGCGGGAUUCUGCAGCCCUGGGGAGACCCACCUGCCACUCCACCCCAUCCAGGUGUCUCUGCCCUCCACCCACCACGUACUGGCCCUCUCACACGUGGCCCUCACGAUGUGCCCUGGAGUCUCCCCUGGGAGGUACCUUUUAGAGACCCCAGGCCCGCACUCUUCUGCCUCGCUCAGUCCUUCUCUUCUCCGACUGCUGGGGCCUUGGUGAUGGGUAGUGGCAGCAGAGGGGUCCCAGGAGCUGCCGACUUCCACCCCUGCAAGCUUCCGCCUUUGAUGGAGCUUUCCAGGCUCAGGAUGUAUGAGAAUAUUCUUCACUAGCCACAGGCCCUAUCUGAGCCUCAGUCUUUCUACCUGUAGAAUGGGUGUAUGUAAGUGUGCUGAGGGUGAGGGUCUGCUUAUGUGUGUCUUAGGUAUAAUUUCAUGUUCUCGAAGCUGUCUGAUUAUGUGCCUGUACCACUUCUUCCAAGAGGAUCAGGAAUGUGGUUUUGUCACCAGCUGUAUCCCUACGUCCAGUUCAGUUCCUGGCACACAGAAUGUACGUGAUGUUUGUGGGAUGAGUUAGUAUUCCCAGACACCUUCCCUGGGACCCCACUGUGAUGGCUGCUGUCUCUUGGCUUCAACCCAGAGUGCUGUCUGUCCCUGGGGCAGGGGGCAGGGGGCAGGGGUUCCCCAGGUCUCUGAUGUCCCCUGCUGAUGCUGGGACCUGGCUCCAUGGAGCUGAUAAUCUCUGGGGUCACUUCCCACAGUAGUCUUCCCACUUCAUUCUCACAUUUGCUGGGAGAUUGGGCAAGAGACUUUAGGAAUCACGGGGUCAGGAUGCUGCCACCCCCUUCACUUCCUUGGUGACAAUGCCACAGAGCAAUGCAAAGUGAACGCCAGGUGCUGUUGGAACUUGCCUGGAGUGGGGACAGCGGGGGGGGGGGGGGGGGGGGGGCGGUUGCAGACCCAGUGAGGGGUGAGAUCUGAGGGUCACUGACAAAGGGAGAAAAGCAGUUUCUACUGGGAGCCGUGAGGGUGCCCACCCACUUCCCCUCUGCCCUUUGCUGAGAACGAGUCCUGAUAGGAGUCACUACCCCACUCUGCCAGGAGAGGGCACUCUGCUCCCAGCUUUGGCGUCAGCCUGCCACCCUCCAGCUCCUUGCAGUUACUGCUCCCUCCCUCCCGUUGCAGAAUGAACUGAGGCGCAGCGAUGCUGGGCAGACCCUGCGAGUGAGUGGGCUUUGACUUGUCUGUGGGCCUCCACCUGGGGAAGCUGCCACUCAGUGCCCACAGUGUCGCUCAGAAUAAUGCCCCUGACCAGCAUUUACUGAACACGGCCUGUGCUCCACCCAUAUUCUGAGUUCUUUCUAAAUUCCCUAGAAGGUAAAUUUUGCAGGGAUACCCAUCUUGCAGAUGAAAAAACUGAGGCCUACAGGUUUUUAAAAUAUUUUAUUUACUUUUCUUCCCCCGCACAAUACAAAUGCUUUAACAAUGAGCCGAGUCAACGGGACAUCUGGGAACCCGCUGGCGGCAUCAGCGCAGCCUGCAAGCCUCCGGCUCUGACUCCAGGGUGUGCACAUCGCCCUUCCUCACGGGGCGGCUCAUGUCGUCCGUGAGCUCCACACGCACCUGCACGCCCUGUCCCUGAGAGCUGGUCCUGCCCGGCUGCACACUCUACUCGUGUCCUUGUUGGCGGCUUGCAGCGGUCGGGGGGAGAGCUUUCAUUUUUUUUUUAGAGAUUUAUUUUAUUUAUUUGAAAGACAGAGUUAGAGAGAGAGAGAGACAGACAGACAUAAAGAUCUUCCAUCUACUGGGUCAUUCCCCAAAUGGCUGCAAUAGUCAGAGCUGGGCCAGGCCAAAGCCAGGAGCCAGGAGCUUCAUGGAAGUCUCCUAUGUGGGUGACGAGAGUCCAGGGACUUGGGCCAUUUUCUGCUGCUCUCCCAGGCUCGUUAGCAGGGAGCUGCAUGGGAAGCAGAGCAGCCAGGACUCUAACCACUGCCCAUACGGGAUGCUGGCGCUGCAAGUGGAGGCUUAGCCCCUAUGCCACAGUGCCCUCCCCACCACCAGGCCUAGAGGUGUCCAUUCACUCACAGUCAGGAAGCACCAAUGCUCUCUGACUCCAAAAUCGCUGCCGUAACGAUUGUGCUCCGCUGCCUCCCAUCAUACUCCCCGCCCCCACACACCUUGCACACUCAUUUGAGAGUGCAAAGACAGAAGAGAUAAGAGAUAAGACCUGGGGUUCCAUGUGGUGAACACACACAAAUACAGAUGCUAACCGCCCCCCCACAUGCACAUUUGUUCACAUCCCCCAAAUACACAAAUACGUAUGCUUGCACACCACCAAAAACACCCCCACACAUACAUGUUCUACUCACGCACCCUGUGCAUCCAUAGUCACGCACACACAUUCACCUUUCCCACUGUGCGUGUUAGCAAGGCCUGGCCUCUAACAUGGGCCUGUGCUGUGACUGCCAGCGAGGAGCCUGAGGUUCAGCUAAUGAGCUGUGCCGGUUUUUUGUUUGUUUGUUUUUUUAAUUAAUUAAUUUAUUUAUUGACAGGCAGAGUUAGACAGUGAAAGAGAGAGACAGAGAGAAAGGUCUUCCUUUUUCCGUUGGUUCACCCCCCAAGUGGCCACUACGGUCGGUGCUGUUGCCCGUCCAAAGCCAGGAGCCAGGUGUUUCCUCCUGGUCUCCCAUGCGGGUGCAGGGCCCAAGCACUUGGGCCAUCCUCCACUGCCCUCCCGGGCCAGAGCAGAGAGCUGGACUGGAAGAGGAGCAACCGGGACAGAAUCUGGCGCCCAACUGGGACUAGAAUCCGGGGUGCCGGCGCCACAGGCGGAGGAUUAGCCUAGUGAGCCGUGGGGCCGGCCAAGCUGUGCCGUUUUUUGACACACACCCCCCCCACUUCCCUUCCAUUCAGUCCACAAACUUUGCUUCCUGCCAGGGGAGCACAUGACUCAGACCUGGCCCUUGCCCUAAAGGAACUUCCUCGCCUGGCAGGGAGAAAGGCCCCCCAGUGACCACACAGCUUGUCAAUGCCCAGGCAGGUCUGGGCAGAGCUUCCGUGCAGGGAGGGGCUGACUCACCAGGCCCGGGGGCUCCGGGACCUCCCAGAGGAGGAGGUACCCACCCGGAUCUUCAGAUGAGCCAGGCAGAGAAGCAGAGCCCACGUCGGCAGAGUCAUGACAGAUCAAAGAGUGGGGAGAAACAGCGAACGUUGGGCACUUUGGGUGCGGUACUCCAUCUAACCCCUCCACAACGCUACGGGGCAGACACAGCGAUGAACCGCAUCACGUAGGUAGGUAGAACAGGCUCGGACGGCUGAGCUGGUCAGCUGCAGAGGCAGGAUCUGAACCCUGGCUCCAGGCUAUAGGCUUACAGCCCCAGGGCCCUGUGCUGAGAGUGUGCUCACUUCUGCUCUGCUCCUCACACACUCUCUCCCCCAGCGCUGCAGGGGUGCUGACAGGGGCAGCACACAGCAUCACUCCCCUUAUAUCCCGUCCAGGAGCCUGCGUUGGCUCACUGAGUUAAGCCGCUGCCUGCAGUGCUGGCAUCCCAUAGGAGCGCCUGUUGGAGUCCCAGUUUUUUCUCUUCCAGACCAGCUCCUUGCUAAUGCACCUGGAAAAGCAGCAGAGGAUGGCCCAAGUGCUUGGUCCCCUGGCACCCAUAUGGGAGACCUGGAGGAAGCUCCUGGCUCCUGGCUCCUGGCUUUGGCCUGGUUCAGCCCCAACCAUUGCAACUAUUAGGGGAAUGAAUCAGUAGAUGGGAGGUAUUCUCUCUCUCUCCCUUUCAAAUAAAUAAAAUUUUAAAAAAACUAAUAAUAUCUAAGUGCCUGGGGCCUCCUUUGUCCAGUGCCACAAAAGAAAGCCAUUUUUCCAAGGAACUCCCAGGGAAGCGAGGUUUGCCCUUAGGGCCCGCACAGUUUGUUUUGACUUCGGCAGACAGCUUUGUAGCAUGUACUGCACAUCCCUCUAAAUUCAUCUCUGUGGACUGAAAGCUCAGAAGGUUGUUAACUCCUGCAAGGCAGCAAGCAAAUCGUGAGCCUCUGUGCAUCACAACAGGCGCGCUCAGGCGUGGCCCAGGACAGCUGCCUAGUCAAGGUUCUGCAGGACAGAACGCGCUAGACAUUAGAUGAGUUCACUUGGAAAUCCAUAUGCCCAGCUUCUUUCAAAAAACAUUAUCAGAAGACCCAGCAACUGGGCCUACGUGGUUGGCUGCCCUCUGUAGACGGUGAGUGAGUUCCCCACGCCUACAUAUGUCCCCAGCCCUAGCCACUUCAGUUGAGCCAACUGACACAGUUUUCUUAAUGGCCCAGGUCCAGUCAAUAAGCAUUGAUUGGUGUUCUCAUUUGCCCGGCACCCACAGAGGUGUUUGCCCCCCCCCCCCGCCCAGGCUAGAUGUCCCCACAUUGCAGGACUUCCUGAAUCCCGUGUGGGUUCUGAUGGACCUCCCUGCCCCCUUUUCUCAGCCGUCACCUCUUGCUCAUGGCUGUCCCUCUGAUGGGGUUGAACCUCCCUGGCCAGAGGCAGGGGCUGCUGCGGGACCACGGCCGCUGCUGACGGCCACUCCACUGGGAGUCCGGAUGGGACCUUAUUUGGAAAAAGGGCCUUUGUGGAUACAGUGCACUUGAGGGAUUUGAGAUGAGACCAUCCUGGUGUAGGGUGGGCCCUGAGUCCAGUGUCAGGUGUCCUCAAAAGGGAAGGGGAGAAGACUGGCGCAGAGGAGGCUGCGUAAGGACGGGGACAGAUGGGAGCUGCACUGCAAGGCUCGCCGAGGACUUCCGGCGGUCACCAGGAGCCAGGAGAGAAGUGGGCGCAGAUCCUCCCUCCGCGAGAGCCGGCCCUUCCUGAUGCCUUGACCUUGGGCUUCUGGCCUCCAGCCUGCGGACAGCAUACAUUUCUGUUGUCUGAAGUUCAGUAGCCCUAGGAAUCUAAUGUCCCUGGGAGACGAUGGAGGAGGCAAGCGGGGUGGACGCCUGAUCCUGGUGACUCUAGUGCCUCAGUUUCCCUCGUCCUCCCUCUGAGAAGUGCAGGGACAGCAACGAGACUUGUCCGGGCGGUCAUUCCCCACCCCCACCCCAAGGCCUCCAAAGCCUCCCAGGGAAUGAAUCCUCCUGGCAAGCUGUGGUUUAAUGUGCAACGCGUUUCCUUUUAAGCAUGCAUGAGGAAAUGACCUAAGGACGCCCUCUUGGGUGUGCGGGUGGGUCUCUAGGGAGGCGAAUCAGCUCUCCUGGCGUCCUAAGCAUCAGGAAUACAUAGUUGGUUCUCAGGCCGAAAGAGACAGGGAACCGGACGAACGGAAAGAAAGAGGGCAGGCGUGGGGACCGGCCUCUGGCUCGGGGGUUAAGGUGUGGCUUGAGACACCCACAUCCCACAUCACAGGGCCUGGGUUCAAGUCCUGUCUCCACAUCCAAUCCAGCUUUCCGUCAGUGCACAUCCUGGGAGGCAGCUGCGUGGGUCCCUGUCACCCACAUGGGAGACACGGAGUAGCUGCUAGACUACUGCCUUUUAGGGAGCGAACCAGAGGACACAAGGUCUCUGUCUGUCUCCUCACUGCCUUUCAAAUAAAAUGAACAUAGCUGGCGCCGCGGCUCACUAGGCUAAUCCUCCGCCUUGCAGCACCGGCACACCAGGUUCUAGUCCCGGUCGGGGUGCCGGAUUCUGUCCCGGUUGCCCCUCUUUCAGGCCAGCUCUCUGCUAUGGCCAGGGAGUGCAGUGGAGGAUGGCCCAGGUGCUUGGGCCCUGCACCCCAUGGGAGACCAGGAGAAGCACCUGGCUCCUGGCUCCUGCCAUCGGAUCAGCGCGGUGCGCCGGCCGCAGCGCGCCAGCCGCGGCGGCCAUUGAAGGGUGAACCAACGGCAAAGGAAGACCUUUCUCUCUGUCUCUCUCUCUCUCACUGUCCACUCUGCCUGUCAAAAAAUAAAAAAAAAUUAAAAAUAAUUAAAAAAUAAAUAAAAUGAACAUAGAUAAUUUAUUUUUCAAAAAAUGAAGAGGGGGGCUAGUGUUGUGGUACAGAGGAUUAAGCUGCCACCUGUGAUGGCGGCAUCCCCAGAGAGCACCAAUUUGGGUUCUGGCUGCUCUGUUUCCAAUACGGCUCCCUGCUAAUGCACCUGGGAAGGCAGCUGAGGAUGACCCAAGUCCUUGGGUCCUUGCCACCAAUGUGGGACAUCCAGAUGGAGUUCAGUCUGAGGCAUGGCCACUAUGGCUGUUUGGAAAGUGAACCAAGAGAUGGAGGCUCUCUUUCUCUCUCUGUCUCUCCAUCUCUCCCUCUCUCCCUCUCUCUCCCUCUGUAACUCUGCCUUUCAAAUAAGUAAGUAAGUAAGUAAAAACAGGAAGAGGGCAUGGGUGCAGUUUCUCAGACAGAAGUAGUGAGAGAAGCCUGGAUCGUGUCCAGCUCUGCCUGGUUUCCUUUUCUCACUUCUCCCCUCUCUCGUAUUCCAGGUACUUAGUGGGUGCCGGGACUGCACCUGCAGUACCACAGCUUCCCCUCUGUCAUAGAGAAAGCUGCACACCGUGAUCCUCAGAGGCCUUGUGGGGACAUUGUGGGUUGCCUGUUGCCCAGCUGGAUCCUGAACUACAAGCUCUGACAGUAGCCCCUUAACCUCGGGCAUCCAGGACGGGUCCUCACAGCCACGCUGGGACUGGUCAGGGCCGGGAUCACCACGCGUUUUACAGAAGAGGAGGGAUGAGCACUUGCCUAAGAGAGCGGUCAGAGGUAGCUGAGCGUCGGGGGCUCGCCGAGCUCAGCCCGUGUAGGGAAGCUGCUGCACUGACGGCCGUUUGUGGGAAGGAGCGAGUGAUGGGGCUGUGUUCUGCGAUCCUGGCCUUUGGGGGUGGAGGCGUAGGGCCCCGGAGGACAGAGCUUGGUGUCACCUCCUUGUGGUGGUCUGAGGCUGACUCUGGGUAACUGUCUCCCCUGGCAUUAGUUAUCCAUUGCUGCCUAACAAACUAAGCCAUAGUGUGGUGUGAAACAAUAGCAAUCACUUAUUAUUAUUAUUAUUAUCUUUUGGGUUUGGGGGUUGGUUGGACUCAGCUCAGCAGUUCUCACUCUGGGUCUGGUGUCGCUACAGUCAGAUGGUGGCUGGGCUGGGGCCAUCUGGAAGGUUCCCUCACUCGCCUGUCUGCCAGUGGGUGCCAUCAGCUGGGAUCGGGGUUGGGACUGUCAGCAGGAGACUACAUCUGGCUUCUCUAUGCGGCCUGGUAGCGGGGUCCGAGGGUGAGUGCCCUAAGAGCGCCGGUACAAGUUCUGUCACCUUUCGUGGUCUAGUGUUGGAGGUUGUGUGGCAUCACUGCCACCAUAGACCACCUCUUGCUGAGGGGCUGACAAGAUUCCAGGAGAGCACGAGGGAGGGGAGAGUUGUGACCAUGUUUGAAACAUACGCUGUGCCACAUCAGGGCAGGGGUGAGCUCUGGAGUCAGAUUCCUGGGUUCAGAUCCGAGAACUGCCACUGCAUGUCCGAGUCUCAGCUUCCUCUUCUGUAAAUGGGGCUGAUGGUAACAGCUGCUUCAUGGGAUGUCUGUAAGGCUCAGGCAACACAAAGACCCAAAGUGCAGGGCACCUGACACAUGCCCAAGGCUCAGGGGGUGUCACUGGGGUUGAGACAGGUCAUCAUACUAAGCUCUGGCCAGUGUGGCUCAUUACCCCUGGCUAUUGCCAGUUUGUAGGAACGUGAUGAAGACUGGGGGAGUUUUUGGAGAUGUGUGUGCAGGCGGGUCCAUGCGCGCCUGCCACAGGAGCCGAGCUGAGGCAGUGAGUGAGUGGAUGCUGUCAGUGUGGGUGGAAUGGAACUGGCAAGAGUCUGCACGCGUGAGACACAGGCAGGGCUGUGGGUGUGUGAGUGUGGGAACAUGGGGAGUGAGAUGUCCGAGGCUUCAAGUGUGCACAGUUAGGACCGGGUGUGAGCAGACAGAGCAACGGGGACAUAAAGGCUGUGGGUAUGGCCAAGCACAUCGGUUAGAGUCCAUGUGCAGGUACUCCUGAGGGUUUGUAUUUUCCCAGAGGUCUUUGUUUAUGCCUGGUGCUCUCAACAAAUGAGGAAAUGGAGGAGCAAGUUAACACUUUCAGAGCAUUCCAGGGAUGUUCCGAUCAACUGACCCCUGGACAUGAUGACUGUCUGGAAAGAUAAGGCAAGCCCAGGCCAGGGGCAUCAAAACAGACUUUCGCUGAAGUUCAUGACCGCACUUGGCCUGGGAACCAGGAACCCCGUUAGGGCUGACUGCUUCCCACACACAGUUGCCCCUUCAGUUUGGAUGGCAGUUCCACACUUGGCCUUCCUCCACAUCCCCUUGCUGUUAGCAGCCAGUCUGUUUUUCCACUCAAAGACGUCUGUUGAGUAGCCACUAGGAGGGAGGCACCGUGCCGAGGCCGGGGACUUCAAGCAGAGCCUCCUGUCCUGGAGGAGCUGCGUCCUGUGAAGGGAGCCUUACCUGCCGGGAGGGACAAUGACCAGUGACCAUGGCGGUGAGUGAAGAAAAACAAAGGGAGGGGGAGUGACUUGGGAAGUGGGAGACGCUGUAGAGGAGGCCGGGGAGGCAGAGCACAGAGCGCGCAUGGGUGUCUGUGGGAGACGUUAGGCAGAGAGAACCACAGGGACCAAGAUCCAGGGUGGGAAUAUGCCUGGUUCAUUGCAGGAGACAAGGAGGCUGGUGAAGGGGCAGUGCCAUGAGCUGAGGCAGAGGGGAGGAAGUUAGGUCAUGGAUCUGCCAGGAGCCGUGACCCGGAGCUCUUGCGGGGGAGGGCGACCCUCCUACCUUUCCUGCUCCUUCUCUGCUUCCCUCCCGUGCUCCUAGGGCCGCGAGAAACCACCCUGGUCGUUACUGAUAGCUCAAAACAACAGAAAUUCAUUUUCUCACAUCCUGGAGGUCAGACGUCCAAGACCAAGAUGUUGGCAGGGCUAUUCCCCUCUGAAGGAUCUGGAGAAGAAUUUUUAUUUUCUCUGCCAGCUUCUGGUGGUUCCAGGAGGCCCUUGGCCUGUGGCUGCAUAACUCCAAUCUCUUCCUUAAUUUUCUUUAUUUAUUUGAGAGACAGACAGAGUGCUUCAAUCCACUGGUUCAUUCCCCAAAUACCUGGAACAACCAGGGCCAGGCCAGACUGGAGCUGGGAGCUAGGAAUUCAAUACAGGUUAAUUACUUGGGCCAUCACUGUAAGGUCAUCACAAAACAGACCAAACACCAAAGUGAGGGAAAGAGUUUAUUGGGGGAAACCCGACAGACCAGAGGGAAGGGGCGAAGAAGGAAAAGAGAGAGAAGAGAAGAGGAAUGUAAGAGAGAGAGAGACGAGAUAAGAUAAAGAUCAAGAGAGAGAGAGAGAGAGAUCAGGAGACCAGAGAAAGAGAGUCACGUAUUCAGGAACAGGUCCUUCUAAAACUUUGGCCGGGGUCAGGAUGAGGGGCAGGCAGGGAAGUAGAAGCAGCAAAUCCCAUUAGGAUGGGGGUGGAGCUGACACUGGUGGUUGGGCCAUGUGGCCACCUGGCUUCCAGCAAUGGCAGCAGGGGCUAGAGCCUAGGAUGGUGUCAGGGUGUAGAUCACGCCCUCGGUAAGACUGCGCCAUUUUACUAACAAUCAUCGCUGUCUCCCAGGAUUUGCAUUAGCAGAGAGUAGAAUCAGGAGGCAGAGCUGAGAGCUGGAGCCAGGAAUCACAACCAGGUACUUCAGUGUGGCACAUGGGCAUCUUAACCGCUAGACCAAACACUCACUGCUUCUGCCUUCCUUUUCCCAUGGCUUUCUCCCUGUGUCUCUCUUCUGUGCAUCUCUGAUAAAGACACCUGUUAUCAGAUUAGAUAAUCCAGAAUGAUCUCAUCCUGAGAUCCUUGUGUUAAUCAUAGCUGCAAGGACCCUUUUUCCAUGUGAAAUCACAGUCCAGGUUCCAGGGGUCAGCACAUGUGCUCUGUAGCUUCCAAAUGUUUGUGAACACUCACGUGGUUUGCUACUUGAUGUUCUUGUUUGGGAGUCAGUUCCCCCCUCCCUUCCUGAGUGUGACAUGCAUCUUAUCACACCCCAUAUGUGAGAACUGGGAGCAACUCUCCAUCUGCCCUUGGCAGUGUUGCACAAAACCUUAUCAGACCCCUGCACUUCCAAACACAUACAAAGUCAAGUAUUGGAUCCACACUUUGAGAGCUUAAAUUGUGGCAGGCUGUGGGGAAUCCCACAGGAGUCCCAGAAGAGUUACAGAGCACCACUAACCCAAAAAGAAAGAGAAAAGGCAAAACCAAAAUGGAGUUACUUAAGCUAAGGCCACUAAGCACCAGGAACUGCCCAGACCAUCUGUCAGAACACACAGGUGGUGAGGCCUGAUGUGGACUGGGGGACAUUACAUCAUAAGAAGAAGCCAACCAGCUGGCUACUGCAUUACUUCACCCACACUACUGCACCACAAUUGGCCACACCCAGAAGACCCCCAGCACAUCAUUGGUUACACCCAAACACCAACAUGUGGUUGGUGACACCCAAACAAGGAUGAGCCUGUGAUUGGUGGCACCCUAGAGCACACCCACCGCCUACCUACCCCAGAAGGGGAUAACCAGGCAAACCUCACCACUGCUCUGCAUCCCCUCGGGGACCAUGGCUCAGUGUGAGUGAUGACCAAGUGGGUCCACUGCAUCUUGCUGAAACUGCAGGACUCUUCACUGGCCAAAACUCCGCUCACUACCCCGCUGGAUCCGACCUCACCUGGAAGUCCCAGCUGUUGCUGGAGCUGACAUCGAUCCCCCGGGUGACAGCAUCGGUGACUUCUCCAACUCUUCACCAUCGCUGUCCAUCUUAGAACUCCGAGUCUACUGCCCAGGGUGCUGAGCAUUCACUGCCCGGAACCUUCUCUGUCACCUCUCCCACCUUGGGGUAAUUUCCAUGGCAGCAGCAGACCACGAAUACAGUCACUCUUUGCCUUCCUUUCAUGAUCUUUAAAAUGAGCAUGGUGAUAGCCACUGCUCCAUGGAAUCACAGUAAGGAUUUGAUAAAAUGAUGCAUGCAAAGGGCCCGGCUCACAGCAGACAUUCAGGUGACGGAGCCAAUCGUGUCCUCCUUUUUUUUUUUUUUUUUUUUUUUUUUUUUGAUAGGCAAAGUGGAUAGUGAGAGAGACAGAGAGAAAGGUCUUCCUUUGCCAUUGGUUCACCCUCCAAUGGCCGCCACAGCUGGCGCACCACGCUGAUCUGAAGGCAGGAGCCAGGUGCUUCUCCUGGUCUCCCAUGGGGUGCAGGGCCCAAGCACUUGGGCCAUCCUCCACUGCCUUUCCGGGCCACAACAGAGAGCUGGCCUGGAAGAGGGGCAACCGGGACAGAAUCCAGCGCCCCGACCGGGACUAGAACCCGGUGUGCCGGCGCCGCAAGUCGGAGGAUUAGCCUAGUGAGCUGCGGCACCGGCCCGUGUCUCUUAUACAGGCUUCAGGAACCAAGAGCGGAAGUUGAGCACUGUGUAAGGAAGGGCUAGAGGGCAAGAUGAAAAGCAAAACUUAGUCUUAAUUUUCCUGGCAAUUCUGCUCUGACUCUCCAUUUUCAUGCCCCCUCCCAAGACAGAGUCCUGUAGGGAGCCUCUGUCCCCUCUCCUUAGAAGGCAGCAAGGAGACCAUCUGCCUUCCCUCCAGCACUCCCUUCGUUGUCUGCCAGCCCUAGCCCUGGGCUUAGCAAGCGAUUCCUUGCUCUCUGCCAGGAGUCCUGCUCAGCAGAGUUUGCGCCAUCUCAGCACUUCCCAGGGGUGUCCCCUGACCCCUGGGAGCUACCAGGGAAGAAUUGCUUCGCUCCUUAAUCUCUCUCUGAGAACCAGGUUUAAAGUUUAACUCUGCUACCAAUUUGCUAUUUGUCAAGUCACUCAACUUCUUGAGCUCCAUUUCCUCAUCUGCCAAUUAGAGAUGGUAAAUUGUGCCUCAUGGUCACUGGGAGAAGAGAAUGAAGCAAGACAGUGAGUUAUGAAAGCUUUGUUGAAUGGAAAUAAUAAACCAUAAACGCUCCCAGACUAUCAGGUGCGUCCCGGCUCCCUGCAGCUGGAGCCACUUAAUCUCACACACAGGCUCUGCCCUGCUCUAGGCUUGAGACUAACUUUGUUUUCUUUUGUUUUUAUAAUGUUUUUCUAUUAAAAAAGAUGUAUUUAUUUGAAAGAGUUACAGAAAGAGGGAGAGAUCUUCAUCUGCCUGUUCUUCUCUCUCUCUCUCUCUCUCUUUUUAAGAUUUAUUUAUUUAUUUGAAAGGCAGAGACAGAGAGAGAGAGAGAGAGAUGUCUUAUAUCUGCUGGUUCACUCCCCAAAUGGCUGCAAUGGCCAGAGCUGCACUGAUCCAGAGCCAGGAGCUUCUUUUUUGGUCUCCCACUCAGGUGCAGGGGCCCAAGGACUUGGGCCAUCUUCUAUUGCUUUCCCAGGCCAUAGCAGACAGCUGAUCAGAAGUGGAGCAGCCAGGACUCAAACUAGCAUCCAUAUGGGAUGCCGGUCCUGCAGGUAGCUAUUUUACCGGCUACACCACAGCACCGGCCGCCAUCUGCUGGUUUUUUCCCCAAGUGGCUGCAAAGGCCAGGGCUGGGCCAGGCUGAAGCCAGGAGCCAGGAGUUUCAUCCAGGUCUCCCACGUGGGUGCAGGGACCCAUACUUGGGCCAUCUUCUGCUGCUUUCCCCAGGCCAUUGCAGGGAGAUGGCUCGGAAGUGGAGCGGCUGGAACAUGAACUGUUCCAUCCAUAUGGAUGUGGCCUCAUAGGCAGCGGCUUUACCAGCUAUGCCACAGCACUGGCCUUCCCAGCCCCCAAUUUUUUUUUUUUAAUCAUGGGACUUUAAAGAGAUUUAAUCUUUUUUAAUCAGGGGCUUAGAAGUAACUUGUAAAUGUGCCCCAGUGCCCUCUUCCUAUAACCAAACCCAAGUUAAAAUAUUUUUAAAUCAGCAAAAAUAAUAAAAUCACAUUAUAGGAUACUGAUCCUUAAAUGUGGAUGCACAUUUAGAAUCAGCUGAGGGGUUAAUGUUGAUGCCCUAUCUCCAAAGAUCUGGGUUUAAUCAUCUAGGAUAUGGCUUAACCGUUGAGCUUUUUAAAAGCUUCUCGCUUCACCGCUCUGAAGUUAAAGUGACUGAACUUACUGUUCCAUCUGAAAUAACAAAAACAGAAAACAAGGGGCUGACGUUAUGGCUUAGCAGGUUAAGCCUCUGCCUGCGACGCCAGCAUCCCAUAUGGGUACUGGUUCCUGUCCCAGCUGCUCCACUUUCUGAUCCAGCUCCCUGCUAAUGCACCUGAGAUAGCAGCAGAAGCUGGCCCAAGUCCUUGGGCCCUUGCACCCACCUGGGAGACCUGGAAGAAGCUCCUGGCUCCUGGCUCCUGGCUUCAGCCUGGCCCAGCCCUGGCUGUUGGGGUCAUUUGGGGAAUGAACCAGCAGAUGAAAGAUUCUCUCUCCCCUCUGCCUUUCCUUCUCUAUAACUCUGACUUCCAAAUAAAUAAAUACUUAAAAAAAAAAAAAAAAAAAAAAAAAAACAGAAAACAAAAUGAAACAAUUGUUUUCAAAGUGGAAUAUCAGGCAAUGAAAGACAGGAAUGAAGCCGAUGAAAUCAGUGAAAUGAGACCUGUGAUUGCCCCAAACUGCAAUAUAGAGAGAUUUCAGCCCACAAUGCUGAGUGCAGAAACCCAGGUGGAGCCCAGAAGAGGCUCUGAGUUGGGGAGAAGGAGCUGACAGUGUGUGGGGGAGAAUGAGGAAGCCAGGACAGAGCACUGGAGAGAGGAAAAAUGCAUGGAACUCUGCACAAGGAUGCAGCCUCAUCCUCAUUGACACAAGCAGGUGAAGCAACAAUCCAGAAGAUGAGGACAGACGCACCCACGGAGUGAGAGGAGAGAAUACUAGGACUCAGUCAUCCAAAACCACCCAUCAGAGAAGUUGUGACACUGGAUUCAAUCCUGAAUAUUUCUGCCUCUCCCAGUCCUUGUCCUUUGCAAAUUAUGAAAAUUAAGUAAGAGGAUAGACUUUAAAGCAUUUGUGCCAGCAUAACAUAUUCUGAUUAAAAUAAUUAACAGUUGGGGCCAGUGCCGUGGCCUAGCAGGUAAAGCCGCCUCCUGCAGCGCUGGCAUCCAAUAUGGAUGCUGCCUGUUCAAGUUCUGGCUGCUCCACUUCCGAUCCAGCUCUCUACUAUGGCCUUGGAAAACAGUGGAAGAUGGCCCAAGUCCUUGGGCCCCUGCACCCACGUGGGAGACCAGGAGGAAGUACCUGGCUCCUGGCUUCGGAUCAGCCUCUGUCUCUCUGUGAUUCUGCCUUUCAAAUAAAUAAAUCUUUUUUAAAAAAAUUAACAAUUCUGUGGUUCCUCAAUCCAAUUUGUCAAUGCAAUUGACAUUCCUAGUCAAGUCUCCUCUAAUAAUUCCCCAGAAUUUCUGGAAAUGUCUUACCUAUAUUCCACAACAAGCUCUCUCAGCUGCCACAUGACCUUGUCAUUGCUAACCCUGACUGAGCAGGUCCUUACUGUGUGCUCUGCACCCACGUGGGAGACCGGGAAGAAGCUCCUGCGUCCUGUCUUCAGCCUGGCCCAGUCCUGGUUGUUGUAGCCAUUUAAAUGGAGAGUGAACCAGCAGUUAGAAGACCUCUUUCUCUCCGUCUCUACCUUUCUUUGUAACUCUGCCUUUCAAAAAAAAUAAAAAUAAAUCUUUAAAAAAAUUUUUUAAAAAUUAUUUCCUAGGACAAUAUCAAAAAAUUUUUCUGUUUGCUUCUAGUACUUGUAUAGUUUUGAGUAUUACAUUUAUGUCGUUAGUCCACUUUAAGUUGAUUUUUUUAAUAUGGUCUGAGAUAAAGAUCUAAUUUUAUUCUUCUGACCACAGAUACACAGUUUUCCCAACUUCAUUUAUUAGAGACUGUUCUUUCCCCUUGCUGUGUUUUUGGCACCUUUUUCAAAAGUUAAUUGGCUGAAAAUGCAUAGAUAUAUUUCGGGGCUCUAUAUCUUGUUGCAUUGGUCCUUGUGUCUUUUUUUUUUUUUAGAGAUUAUUUAUUUGAAAGGCAGAGUUACAGACAGAAAGGGGUGAGACAAAGAAAGUUCUUCCAUCUGCAACGGCCUGAGCUGGGCCUAUCUGAAGCCAGGAGCUUCUUCCAGGUCUCCCACAUGAAAGCAGGGGCCCAGACCUCUGCUGCUUUCCCAGGUACAUUAGCAGGGAACUGGAUUGGAAGUGGAGCUGCCGGGACUUGAACCAUCACAGUGCCGGCCCUCAUGUAUCUUUUAAUGCUGAUACUUUGGUAUUUUAAUUAUUGCAGUUUUGUAGUAUAUUUUGAAACCAGGAAGUGUGAAACCUCUGGCUUUGUUCUUUUUGCUCAAGAUUGGUUUGGCCAUGUGGGUUUGCUUGUGAUUCCAUCCAGAGGGCUGGAACAAAAAUGCUUGUUUUCCCUUAAGGAAAGAACUUCAGAUGUGAGACAGAGAUCAGCAGCAAGCAUGCUGGCAAAGCCUAAUGCAAAGGCCAGGCGGUCUUCUCAGCAAAGAACAGACAGCCCCAUCUGCAUGCACACUGAGUUUUUGUGGGUAUGGGUCCCCUGUGUCUCCUACCUACUCCCUCUUCUGGGUUGUUGCUGCUCUUGGAAUUCUUAAAAUCCUCCCGGGGCUUUAUCAGCAGUGUUACUGGACCCUAUAGCCCCCAGGUUGGAGCUGGGAAGAUUCCCCUAAGAUGCCCCAGGGAGCGCCUGGACUCACCUAACCGGUUAUUAGGCGGGCAAGACUUAGGUUGUGCACAUGCUGGUCAGCUUCCAAGACAUGCUUUCUUCCCUCAUUCAACUGCACAAAAUUCCCUUGUUCUCAGGCCCCUCUCUCACAUCUAGGCUAAUGCCUAUCUUCUACCUAACAAUUUUAGAAUUUUUCUUUUUAUCUCUGUGAAGCAUGUCAUUGGGAAUUGUAGAUCAUUGAACUUGUAGAUCACUUUGCUAAUAUGGCCAUUUUAGCAAUAUUUAGUUUUCUAAUCUGUGAACAGAGGAUGACUUUCCAUUAAUUUGUGUCUUCUUCAAUUUCUUUUAUCAGUGCUUUUACGGUUUUGAGUAGUUUGGGUUUUUUGUUUGUUUUAGUUAGAAAGGUAGAGUGACAGAGACAAGAAAAAAGAUUUUUUAAAUUUAUUUGGGGGGGGGCCAGUGCUGUGGCAUAGCAGAUAAAACUGCCUCCUGCAGUGCCGGCAUUCUAUGUGGGCUCUGGUUCGAGUCCUGGCUCCUCCAGUUCUAAUCUAGCUCUACUGCUCUGGCCCGGGAAAGCAGUAUAAGACGGCCCAAGUUUUUGGGCCCCUGCACCCGGAUUGGUACAGCUCUGGCCAUUGCAGCCAAUUGGGGAGUGAUGGAACAAAGACAUAGCCUCAGCCAUUCUUGCUUAUUGCUCAAAAGAGAGAUAAGCAAUGGAAUUUAUUCCUUGCCCUUGAAUCUCAAUUGGGUCUCACACUCUAUUGCCUUCAUAUUCCAUCCCCCACAGCCACCUGAAAGACUAGUUGCUAGAACACUUGAAAGACCAGUUCCAGGGCCAGCACUGUGGCAUAACGGGUAAAAGCUGCCGCCUGCAGUGCUGGCAUCCCAUAUGGGCACCGGUUUGUAUCCUGGCUUCUCUGCUUCAAACCAGCUCUCUGCUAUGGCCUGGGAAAGCAGUAGAAGAUGGCCCAGGUCCUUGGGCCCCUGCACCUGUGUGGGAGACCUGGAAGAAGCUCCUGGCUCCUGGCUUCGUAUCAUCACAGCUCUGGCCAUGGCGGCCAUCUGGGGAGUAAACCAGCUGUACGGGAAACAUGAAGGACGCAGGGAAGCACCAGGUCUGUUCCUUACGUUGAUUCCAGAAGAGGCAUUGCAAAGCAGCUGAGAGAAACAGAUCUGGGUUCAAAUCUCGGGGCUGUUUCUGGCAUCGUCUGUGAGUUUUGGCACCCAACUCCUCUGAACUCUCUUCCUCUCCGAACAUGGACUGCACUGUCUAUGACGUCCCUGGGUAGUCGUGGGGACAAAUAAGAGCACAUGUAGUUCAGAGCAUACAGCAAGCGCUCAGUAUGUGUGUCCUUGGCUCUUCCCUUCACAGUUUACAGAGGGCCCUUGGAAUGUCACUACAGAGGACAUCCAGGACUGGGAGAGACAGCCUCUUCCCUGGGCGGGAGGGGAUUGAAGUUUGGGGAGGGGGGCUAUCUUACAGUUCCCUGCCGUGAGCUGGACAAUAAAAGACAUUUGACCUCAAUUUCCAGAUGUCCAAAGAGGCCCAGAGAUGCAAUCACACAGCAUGUAAAGGGCAAGGAGGAACCAAAUUAGGAGAAACGGUGGGACAAGGGCAUCGCCAAAGGGAUUCUUAGAAGUAAAAAUCAUGCCAGUUUGUGGCUCACAAGAACAGGUCAGAGAUGGAGCUGUCUACAACAGGUCAUUGCAAACUGAGCCCAGAAGACAGACUGCAUUUUGCCUGCAUAUGAUAAUUUCGAGCAUAUCAAAUGGUUGCAAGAACCACACAGUGCACACCCAUCUGCCUGGAUUCUACAGUUGUUGGCUGUUGCUUUGCCCCAUAUUUUCUGAUUCAUCUGCCACUCGUCUUUUUUGUAGGUCGCUACUUCUACACAUUUCAGGAUACCCAUCAUUAACUAGGGCUCAACUUUCGUUUUUGGUGUUAAAUAAAAUGUAGAGGAGGCCAUUGGUUUGGACAGAGCUUCUACACUAGGUCCCGACCCAACCAAAAUGGAGUUGAUCAUGUUCAAGUUCCACAUCACCAAGCCUGAACCCAGUUCUUUAUCUGACCUUGGGAGAAAUCAGGAGAUUGAGAUAAUAGCUAAACCUCAAAGAAGUCAGUUUUAGCUGACAUGAUAAGAAAGCUCACUCUGCUUUCAUCCUUAGGAGCAAAGUAACUGAAACAACCAAUCUGCCUUUUCAGUCCCUCUACGUCGUCAAACUCCUCUGCUCAGCUCAUCAGAGCACUGAUUCUGUUAUGUAUUGCCUGAUUCUAGAAUUGCAAAUAAAAGGCAAUUAAGAUCUUUGAACUAAAUUUGUUGUAAUUUUGUCUUUUGGCAGUUGUUUUUCCUUAUUUUUUGAAGUUAAAUUUACAUAUAGUGAUGUGCAUGGAUCUCUUACUACUUGCUGAGUUUUGCCAAAUGCACACAGCCGUGUAAUCCAAGUAAGACAUUGAAGGAACAAUUUUAAUGCUCCAGAAAAUUCCUUGUGCUCCUUUCCAAUCAAUCCCUUCCCUCCUGAAGCAAUCACUAUUACGAUUUUUACCAUUAGUUAAAUAUUUCCUGUUCUAGCAUAUCAUACAAAUAAAAU
Non-coding RNA from Oryctolagus cuniculus (rabbit), 24393 nucleotides. The record is from RefSeq and is a predicted model, not a curated record. Lineage: Eukaryota; Metazoa; Chordata; Mammalia; Lagomorpha; Leporidae.